Molecule: transfer RNA, 71 nt
Filed under: Megophrys major
Lineage: Eukaryota; Metazoa; Chordata; Amphibia; Anura; Megophryidae
Description: Xenophrys major tRNA-Val
Rfam family: tRNA
About the family: Transfer RNA (tRNA) molecules are approximately 80 nucleotides in length. Their secondary structure includes four short double-helical elements and three loops (D, anti-codon, and T loops).
Source: RNAcentral
AACAAAAUGUAGCUUAAUUUCAAAGCCCCUCGCUUACACCGAGAUGUCAUCUGUUAAACCCGGAUCAUUUU